CACAAGCGGUGGAUGAUGUGGAUUAAUUCGAUGCAACGCGAAAACCUUACCUACCCUUGACAUGUCCGGAAUCCCGAAGAGAUUUGGGAGUGCUCGCAAGAGAACCGGAACACAGGUGCUGCAUGGCUGUCGUCAGCUCGUGUCGUGAGAUGUUGGGUUAAGUCCCGCAACGAGCGCAACCCUUGUCAUUAGUUGCCAUCAUUUGGUUGGGCACUCUAAAUGAGACUGCCGGUGACAAACCGGAGGAAGGUGGGGAUGACGUCAAGUCCUCAUGGCCCUUAUGGGUAGGGCUUCACACGUCAUACAAUGGUCGGUACAGAGGGUUACCAACCCGCGAGGGGGAGCUAAUCCCACAAAGCCGAUCGUAGUCCGGAUCGCAGUCUGCAACUCGACUGCGUGAAGUCGGAAUCGCUAGUAAUCGUGGAUCAGCAUGUCACGGUGAAUACGUUCCCGGGUCUU
This 459-nucleotide ribosomal RNA is filed under the name uncultured Rhodocyclaceae bacterium. RNAcentral describes it as "bacterial SSU rRNA". It matches the Rfam family "Bacterial small subunit ribosomal RNA", at positions 924 to 1382 of the family's 1533-position model. Lineage: Bacteria; Pseudomonadati; Pseudomonadota; Betaproteobacteria; Rhodocyclales; Rhodocyclaceae. The record is from RNAcentral.